This 6547-nucleotide long non-coding RNA is filed under the name Triticum aestivum (bread wheat). RNAcentral's name for it is "long non-coding RNA (TAES_LNC002202)". The record is from RNAcentral. Lineage: Eukaryota; Viridiplantae; Streptophyta; Magnoliopsida; Poales; Poaceae.
CUGUUAGGUUGAUCUCUCCACCGAGUGGGCCCAACGGCCCAUCGGGCCAUGAUCUAUUCGCGCCCUGAUCGGGGGCGCCCAACCCUCUUAUGGUUGGUGGGCCCCUGUGACCUGCGAUAUAUAGAGAGGUGGGGGCCGGGGCACACGGUACAAGGUUAACCGCGCCGCCAGACUCCCCACCGAAAUCCCCUUUCGAUCUAGGGCAAUCGCAGUGCUCACGGGAAGCACCACUGCCACCUCUCCAUCUCGAUCUCUCUGCGAUUACCGGCCUCUACAUCACCAUGGCCGGCUCUGGAUCAAGCUCUUCCGCACCCAAGGAAGGAGAUCUACCCGACUCGAUCCAAAGCAUUCUUUCAAUGGUAUCAGCCAGAUCGGGUCCGAUUUUUCGGUCGAAAAGAAAUCACAGAGAAAGAAAAAUCCCUCCCCAAAGAACCCUAGCAGGGCAGAGUAAAGAAAACCCCAAAAGUUCACCGGAGUAUGGCCUAUGGCCUCGCCGGCAAAGAGCGCCGCCGCAAGGCCGCGCUGUCCCUCUCGAUUCAGAUGCGCAUCGGCAAGCCGAGGCAUCCGAAAGAAGGACAACACCCUGCAAAGGGCAAAGGGGGCACCGCAGCCACGCCGUUCGUCGGAGGCGCGCUUCCGCUAAGGGAAAUGCGUCACCGGCGAAGGGGAGGCAACGGCGCCACGGAUCGCUGUCGUCGCGCACAUGGGAGCAGAAGUGGGUUUGGCUCAUGCUUUCUCUCUCCACGGCGCGGUGGACAGACGAAUAGAAAAGAGGAGGGAAAGACAGGCUCGCGCGGUGGCCGUCACUGGCAACUGCGUGCAGCGAGGUGGCCCGGCGACCUGUAAAGAGGCCGCCGUCGAGAGGCGAGGGGGAGCAGAGGCGCAUCCGUCUUGCUCUCUCUCUCUCUCUCUCUGCCAGAGAAAUGAAAAGGAGGCCAGAGCGGCUCGCGUGGCGCGGUGGCCCGACGCGGUCGCCGGCGGCCGACGGCCGGCGUGGCUUUUCCGCGCGGCCGGCGAGGCGCGAACCCCUCUAUGAGGGAGAGACGAGCGAGCGGCGCGCGAGGGGAGAAUGGGCUAGGUUUCGGUCGGGGAUCGAGAUCGAGGCGUUUUUGUUCUAGCGAGAGGCGCGGUCGUCCGUCGGAUCGCGAUGGACGGCAGAGAUCGAAACCCUAGCCCCGCCCUGGGCCACUGGGCCGAAAGAGAGGGAGGCCGCAGCCGCGCGCCGGGCCGGACCGAGACCGCAGCCGCGUGCUGGGCCAAGGCCGCAGACGCGCGCUGGACUGCGCUGCUGUUUUUUCCUCGUUUGUUUUCUGUCCAGACUUUGGGCAGAUUUAAUAGUUUUUCUAUGCAAUUUUUCCAACGAAAUUUUUUUUUAGAAAAUAUAAAAGUAAACAGGAAAAGUUUAUGAAAAUGAAAAUAGAAAUUUUUCAGAAAAGAAAUGUUCAUGAAUUUUUUAUAAAGAAAAUAAUAAAGUUCAUGAUUUUUUUAUUCGGUCAUAGAAAAGUUUCUGUAAAGAGUAAAAAAGUUCAUGAAUUUUUAUUCAUGUUUUUCCGCUGCGUAAAUAAUUAAUGCUCUUUUACACAGAAAAUAAAAUUUAUAUAGUAUUAAGUUUUUUUAAGAGCAUGUUAAAGUGAUUAUUAAAAUGAAUAUGAUUAUGUUAUUUUUUAUGACCAACGUUGUUUAAAUAACAUGAUCAUGUUUUAUUAUUGAAAUUUAAAGGUGCAUUUAUUUCUAAUAUUUUGCCCAACUGUAAUAUAGAUUUAAUUGCAUAGACAAUUAUAUGUUUAAUUUGACCAAUGUUAGAUUAAUGCAUAUGAUUGUUAUAUUGAUGUCACUUAAAUUGUGAUUUCAGGAGGCUUUCACUUGAUGAGUUGCCUAAAAGAAGUUCCGACACUCAGAGGUGACAACCACACUGAGUGGAGGAAGAAAGUUGAACUGGCAUUUCUUUGUGCUGAUCUGGACUGGGUUCUGGAAGAACAACAGCCGGUCAGACCUACAGAGCCAGUAAGAGAGACUACUGAGGAUGAUGCUGCAUGGGCUAAAAGGAAAGGGGAUUAUGCUCCUUUGGAGAUGUCCUACAUCAUAGCCAACCAAAAGUGGGUCAAUGCAAAUAAAAAAUGCAUGGCCUUUAUAAAGAAUACAAUUGAGAGCAUCAUUGUGGGCUCCAUUGGAGAAUGCACUUCCGCAGGGGAGUUGCUGACAAAGAUAAAGAGCCAGUUCACUGGCUCUUCAAAGAUAUAUGCCACCCAGGUGUUAAAACAACUUGUGACAGAACAAUACACAUGUGGUGGAAUAAGAGAGCACAUCCUGAGGAUGAGCAAUAUGGCAGCAAAGUUAAAGCCCAUGGAUGAGGAUCUGGAGAUCAAACCAAAGCUCCUGGUUCACCUGGUCAUGGCUUCACUGCCAAAGGAGUUUGAAACUUUUGUUGUGAACUAUAAUAUGUCACCUGGAACAUGGGACAUAGAAAAGACAAUUGCUAUGUGUGUCCAAGAAGAGGACAGACUAAAAGCCUCACAUGGUGGAACACUCAACUAUGUGAAGGAUCACAAGAAAAAGAACUACAAUCAAAACAACAAAAAGUUCUCCUUCAAAGCCACAAGGAAAAGCUCCCUAUCAGCAUCAGCGUCAGCAACAGUCUUUCCCAGUGGACAAAGACACUUGUCUCCACUGUAAGCAGACCGGGCAUUACAAGAAAGACUGCCCUGUUUGGCUAAAGUCCUUAAUGGCAAAGCAAGGUAACAACAUUGUUUCCUUAGUUAAUGAAUCCUUGUACACACAGUUUUCGAAAUCUACUUGGUGGAUUGACUCAGGGGCAACUGUUCAUGUUUCAAAUUGUUUACAGGGAUUCCAUUCGACCCGGACUACGCUAAGAAGAGAAGGAGGCAUUGAAGUAGCCAAUGGAAUAAAAGCAGAAGUUGAAGCUGUCGGCGACAUCUCCUUGGAGUUAGCUGAUGGAUUCAAGCUUCUACUUAGAGAUGUUCUUUAUGUUCCUUCAUGUAAUAGAAACUUAAUUAGCGUUUCAUGUUUGGACAAAGAAAAUUAUGAGUGUUAUUUUGGACAUGGCAAGUGUGCCAUCUGGUAUAAUAAUGCUUAUGUUGGUAAUGCUUUACUACAUGAUGAGCUUUAUCUGUUAUCACUUCGUGAAAAAGUGCAUUCUGUAUGCAAUGUGAAUGAACAUGUUUCCGCGUCGAAUAAAGAACAAAAGAAAAGAAAGAGAACAUUCGACUCAUCGAAAUUAUGGCACUGUCGCUUGGGCCAUAUUUCGAAGGGGAGAAUAGAAAGAUUAGUCAAAAGUGAAAUUCCUCCACAGUUAGAAUUCUCAGACUUAGAACAAUGUGUCGAUUGCAUUAAAGGAAAGUAUAUAAAACAAAUCAAAAAGGGUGCAAUCCAUAGCUCAAGCACACCAGAAAUCAUCCACACCGACAUUUGUGGACCAUUUCCAGUGAAAAGUGUGGAUGGAUAUGACUCGUUCAUAACAUUCACAGAUGAUUACUCUCGCUAUGGUUAUAUUUAUCCAAUCAAAGAAAGAUCUGAAGCGUUGGAUAAAUUUAAAAUAUUCAAAGCUGAAGUUGAAAAUCAGCAUGAUAAAAGAAUAAAGAUAGUAAGGUCCGACCGUGGGGGAGAGUACUACGGUCGGCACACUCCAUAUGGCCAAGUCCCUGGACCUUUUGCAAAGUUCUUACAGGAGACUGGCAUAGUCGCCCAGUAUUCAAUGCCGGGUGAACCUCAGCAAAAUGGGGUAGCUGAAAGGCGCAAUCGUACACUUAUGGAUAUGGUGCGCAGCAUGAUGAGUUAUUCCAACUUGCCAUUGGGAUUAUGGAUGGAGGCGCUUAAAACCGCCAUUCACAUUCUCAAUAGAGUACCAAGCAAGUCGAUGCCCAAAACACCGUACGAGCUAUGGACAGGAAGGGUGCCCUCCCUACAUCACUUUAAGGUGUGGGGGUGUCCUGCUGAGGCCAAAAUGUUUAAUCCAAACAUUGCAAAGUUAGAUUCCAAAUCCGGGGGGUUGCCACUUCAUUGGCUAUCCAGACAGAUCAAAAGGUUUUCGUUUCUACUGUCCAGACAGAUAUACAAAGUUUAUAGAAAUGAGACAUGCAGUCUUCUUUGAGGACGAAAUGAUGAGGGGGAGCUUGGUAGCUCGGAAAAUUGAUCUUGAGGAGAAGAGGGUGCAUGCACCUAAUCCGAUGAUUCAGGAGCCAUUUUUCUCACUACGAGUUGCAACUCCAUCCAUGACAACUUUUGGGGCAGACCUGGAACCUGUCCGUCAGGAGCCGACUGAACCCGUUGUUGAGCAUGAAAGGGAGGUGCAACAGCAAAUUUUAGAAGAAGUGCCAGAAAUUGAGGCACAUAAUGUGCCAGAAACCGAGGCCCUUAGAAGGUCUACACGACCAAGAAAGUCAGCUAUUUCUACUGACUUUAAAGUUUAUAACACAGAAAUGGUUCAUAUGGAAAAAGAUCCCACCUCAUAUGAAGAAGCCAUGAGAAGCCCUCAUUCAUCGAUGUGGAUGAAGGCAAUGGAAGACGAGAUGAAAUCAAUGAGUUCCAAAGAUGUUUGGGACUUAGAGGAAAUUCCUAAAGGAGCCAAAUCAGUAGGCUGCAAAUGGGUCUACAAAAUUAAGUAUGACUCUAAAGGGAAUAUAGAAAAAUAUAAAGCACGACUUGUGGCAAAAGGAUUUACACAAAGAGAAGGGAUAGAUUACAAAGAGACAUUUUCUCCGGUCUCAUGUAAGGAUUCCUUCAGAAUCAUAAUGGCAUUAGUUGCUCAUUUUGAUUUAGAGUUACAUCAAAUGGAUGUAAAGAUGGCAUUUCUCAACGGAGAUUUAAAAAAAUAUCUACAUGAAACAACCCAAGGGUUUUAUCAUGGAAGGCGAGGAAAAUAUGGGAUGCCGCCUAAAGAAAUCCAUUUAUGGAUUAAAGCAAGCCUCUAGGCAGUGGUAUUUAAAGUUUAAUCAAACGAUUAAAAGUUUUGGAUUUAAAGAAAAUAUUGAGGAUAAUUGCAUUUAUGCAAAGUUUAAAAAUGGGAAAUAUAUUUUCCUAAUCUUGUAUGUGGAUGACAUUCUGCUUGCUAGCAGUGAUGUUAGUCUACUACAAGAAACAAAGAAGUUCUUAUCCUCGAAUUUUGACAUAAUAGAUCUUGGUGAAGCAUCAUAUGUUUUGGGCAUAGAAAUUCACCGAGAUAGAAACAAUGGAGUCUUAGGACUAUCGCAGAAAGCAUAUUUAGAAAAGGUUCUUAAAAAGUAUAAUAUGCAUGCGAGUAAAGCCACACCUGCUCCUAUAGUUAAGGGCGAUAGUUUUGGGAAAUUCCAAUGUCCCCAAAACCAGUACGAGAUCGAUCAAAUGAAAGGAGUACCAUAUGCUUCGACAGUUGGCAGCUUGCAGUAUGCACAAGUGUGCACUCGCCCUGACUUAGCCUUUAUCACCGGCGUACUCGGUAGAUAUCAAGAGAAUCCAGGCAUAGAGCACUGGAAGAUGACAAAGAAAGCAUUGCGUUAUGCGCAAGGCACGAAGGACUACAUGCUAACAUACAUGAGAUCUGAUUCCCUAGAGAUAAAAGGGUAUUCAGACGCAGAUUUUGCGGGGGACAAAGAUGAUAGAAAAUCCACGUCAGGAUACGUAUUCACCCUCGCUGGGGGAGCUAUUUCGUGGAAAAUCUCCAAACAGUCGAUAGUUGCAUCAUCCACGAUGUAUGCAGAAUUCAUAGCAUGCUUCGAAGCCACGGGGCAGGCGAUAUGGCUAAAGAAAUUUGUACCCGACUUGAAGGUGGUAGAUUGUAUUCACAAACCACUAAAGAUGUACUGCGACAAUCAGGCCGCGGUAUUUUACGCUCACAACAACAAGUCGAGUAACGCUGCCAAAACAAUAGAGAUAAAGUAUUAUGUUGUGAAAGAUAAAAUCCAGGAUCAAACUAUAAGUCUCGAGCAUAUAAAGACAAAAGAUAUGCUUGCGGAUCCGCUAACGAAAGGCUUACCACCCAAUGUGUUCAAGGAACACUUAGCCGGCAUGGGUUUAAGGGAAAGCCUUAUGAUUCCUGGAUAGGCCCAAAAGGAACAGAAUUUGCUUCUAAUCAUAACAUAUGUUGUAGUUGUAUGAUUCUAACGGCAAUUAAGCUGUGACGAUGAAACAUGCUCUAUGUACCAAUAUGUGAUGAAACAAAUAAACUAGAAAGUAUAAGGUUAAAAGUAAAAGUUGAGAUCAAGGGGGAGAAUGUUAGGUUGAUCUCUCCACCGAGUGGGCCCAACGGCCCAUCGGGCCAUGGUCUAUUCGCGCCCUGAUCGGGGGCGCCCAACCCUCUUAUGGUUGGUGGGCCCCUGUGACCUGCGAUAUAUAGAGAGGUGGGGGCCGGGGCACACGGUACGAGGUUAACCGCGCCGCCAGACUCCCCACCGAAAUCCCCUUCCGAUCUAGGGCAAUCGCAGUGCUCACGGGAAGCACCACUGCCACCUCUCCAUCUCGAUCUCUCUGCGAUUACCGGCCUCUACAUCACCAUGGCCGGCUCUGGAUCAAGCUCUUCCGCACCCAAGGAAGGUAGGUUACCGGAAAGAUCUAC